UCUUACCGGGACCGACAGCAAUAUGAAGGCCAGGCUGAAGACUUUGCCGGAUUAGCUGAGAGGUGGUGCAUGGCCGUCGUCAGUUCGUACUGUGAAGCAUCCUGUUAAGUCAGGCAACGAGCGAGACCCACGCCCACAGUUGCCAGCGUACUCUCUGGAGUGAUGGGUACACUGUGGGACCGCCGCUGCUAAAGCGGAGGAAGGAAUGGGCAACGGUAGGUCAGUAUGCCCCGAAUAUCCCGGGCUACACGCGAGCUACAAUGGUUGGUACAAUGGGUAUCUACCCCGAAAGGGGACGGGAAUCUCCUAAAACCAAUCUUAGUUCGGAUUGAGGGCUGCAACUCGCCCUCAUGAAGCUGGAAUCCGUAGUAAUCGCGUUUCAACAGAACGCGGUGAAUACGUCCCUGCUCCUU
This 413-nucleotide ribosomal RNA is filed under the name uncultured Methanosaeta sp. RNAcentral's name for it is "bacterial SSU rRNA". It matches the Rfam family "Archaeal small subunit ribosomal RNA", at positions 925 to 1338 of the family's 1478-position model. The record is from RNAcentral. Lineage: Archaea; Methanobacteriati; Methanobacteriota; Methanomicrobia; Methanotrichales; Methanotrichaceae.